This is a non-coding RNA of Oryctolagus cuniculus (rabbit), 1520 nucleotides long. The record is from RefSeq and is a predicted model, not a curated record. NCBI's taxonomy places the organism in Eukaryota, Metazoa, Chordata, Mammalia, Lagomorpha, Leporidae.
GGCCCUGGAGGCACAAGGUGGCUACUGCCACACGUCCUCCCUGGUAAAGGGACAGAGUUCUCAUGGUUCCACCUGCCUCUGACAGAAGACGCCCAGGCUACCCCGCCAUUGCAUGGGAUAGCCUGCGCCAGCUCUCCAGUACCCAGGCUGGGCCGUGGAGGCCAGAAAGUGGGGCUAUUCACAGCCUCGGAGGGGACUGGGCAUCGGGGAAUGGAGAAGCAGCACCCUGAGCCCGGGCGGCUCCACAGGCCCCACUGUCGGCACCCCACCACCUCUGCCACCGGCACGGCCUCCUCGGAGACGGGUUCCACAGAAGAUAAGAAUGCACACACUGGCUACGAGCUGUUCUUAUUCUUAAUACAGAAAAAAGUAAAUAAUUUUCAGCCCUUGGCUACCAAAGUGGGACACGUGAGUACUUGUAUGAGAAUGCGCACGUGUUUGCAUGUGCGCCUGGAAGGGAGGUGUUUAUAGGGGAUUUGGUUUUAUGGGACUGAACAGGAGAAGGUCCUGAGCACGAGACCUGCUGGGUCUCCCACUUGCUCUCACGUGUGGGCAGGUCUCCACUGCAGCCUUAGAGAGCACCCUAGGAGCACAGCACCCCUGGGCGGCUCUGGAGUGGUACGUUCAGAGCUCCCACAGAGGGAUGUCCUCUGACAAGUGACCCCUGAGUGACUUCGGGUUCUAAGUGGGUAGAUGGGGCAAGUCUCCGCCCCACCCUCACAUCUGUGUGUCGCAUCCCAGUGGGACUGCCUAUACAAUGAGGUUACGGUGUUGAACUGCGGGUCUGGAAUGGCUAACUGGAACUCUUCUAAACAAGGCCCAAGGAGAGACAGAGAGACAGAAAAUCAAACCAAAAAGCAAACCAGAGACAGGAUCAAAGGAUCCGGUAGGAAAGCCCCCGAGGGGAGUGUCUUCCUGCAGCCAUCUUGACACAGUACUAGAGGAGGGCCCACGAUGGGUUAAAUGGGUUAAAAAUGACACAGAAGUCCCACAGCAUCCACUCACUGCCCGCGGGCACUUCUCAGUUCUCCGCAGAGGCAGCCCUCUUAGGCAGGCUCUGGAGAAGCCCUGCUCCAUCGGGUGAAAAGUCGAGCUUCCUCCAUGGACGCAACCCACAUACUUCUCAACGGAAACCGUAAAUACACUCACGCACGUUGCUCCCAAAGCUUCCUUGUCCACUGAUGUUUCUACAGAUGAGUUAAUGGAUUUGUCAUUCCAAAGCCUAAAGUGCCUUCUGGGGGCGGGGGGAGAUGGGAGGUGCCGUGGAAGAAUGGGUCACGGCAGACUCUCCCGCUGUUCAGACUACGGCAAUCUGUCUGCAUGUAUGUGGUCUGCUUUGCUGAACAUACGGUGCUACAGGAAACCACUUGAGCCAGGAAACAAGGGACACAGAAAAGGCAGGUAGGCUCACUGAGCAAAUCCUCCAGCAGAGACUGUAAUCCAUUCAAGCUGUCUCCAGUUAUUCACAUACAUGUCCAGAGUUCAAUUAAGCCUUUAGUCAUAAUAACACCUCCCAUCUC